This 506-nucleotide ribosomal RNA is filed under the name uncultured bacterium. RNAcentral describes it as "partial 16S ribosomal RNA". It matches the Rfam family "Bacterial small subunit ribosomal RNA", at positions 29 to 523 of the family's 1533-position model. The record is from RNAcentral.
AGUGAACGCUGGCGGUAGGCCUAACACAUGCAAGUCGAACGGCAGCACAGGAGAGCUUGCUCUCUGGGUGGCGAGUGGCGGACGGGUGAGGAAUACAUCGGAAUCUACUCUGUCGUGGGGGAUAACGUAGGGAAACUUACGCUAAUACCGCAUACGACCUACGGGUGAAGGCAGGGGACCUUCGGGCCUUGCGCGAUUGAAUGAGCCGAUGUCGGAUUAGCUAGUUGGCGGGGUAAAGGCCCACCAAGGCGACGAUCCGUAGCUGGUCUGAGAGGAAGAUCAGCCAAACUGGAACUGAGACACGGUCCAGAGUCCUACGGGAGGCAGCAGUGGGGAAUAUUGGACAAUGGGCGCAAGCCUGAUCCAGCCAUACCGCGUGGGUGAAGAAGGCCUUCGGGUUGUAAAGCCCUUUUGUUGGGAAAGAAAUCCAGCUGGCUAAUACCCGGUUGGGAUGACGGUACCCAAAGAAUAAGCACCGGCUAACUUCGUGCCAGCCGCCGCAGUAA